Molecule: ribosomal RNA, 465 nt
Filed under: uncultured bacterium
Lineage: Bacteria
Description: partial 16S ribosomal RNA
Rfam family: Bacterial small subunit ribosomal RNA
Source: RNAcentral
GACGAACGCUGGCGGCGUGCUUAACACAUGCAAGUCGAACGCUGAACCCGCUUCGGUGGGGUAUGAGUGGUGAACGGGUGAGUAACACGUGGGCAACCUGCCCCCGGCUCUGGGAUAACUCCAAGUAAUUGGGGCUAAUACCGGAUGUGACCGCUGGCCGCAUGGUCUGGUGGUGGAAAGGGAUUCCGGCUGGGGAUGGGCCCGCGGCUGAUCAGCUUGUUCGUUGGGUAGUGGCCUACGAAGGCGCCGACGGGUAGCCGGCCUGAGAGGGGGACCGGCCACACGAGGACUGAGACACGGCCCAGACUCCUACGGGAGGCAGCAGUGGGGAAUAUUGCGCAAUGGGCGGAAGCCUGACGCAGCGACGCCGCGUGGGGGAUGACGGCCUUCGGGUUGUGAACCUCUUUCAGCAUGGACGAAGCGCAAGUGACGGUACCUGCAGAGGAAGCACCGGCCAACUACGUG